This 847-nucleotide ribosomal RNA is filed under the name Cephalotrichum longicollum. Its description in RNAcentral is "eukaryotic LSU rRNA". It matches the Rfam family "Eukaryotic large subunit ribosomal RNA", at positions 68 to 942 of the family's 3401-position model. Lineage: Eukaryota; Fungi; Ascomycota; Sordariomycetes; Microascales; Microascaceae. The record is from RNAcentral.
ACAGGGAUUACCUCAGUAACGGCGAGUGAAGCGGUAACAGCUCAAAUUUGAAAUCUGGUCCCCUCUGGGGGCCCGAGUUGUAAUUUGAAGAGGAUGCUUUUGGCGAGGCGCCUUCCGAGUGCCCUGGAACGGGACGCCACAGAGGGUGAGAGCCCCGUAUGGUAGGACGCCGAGCCUCUGUAAAGCUCCUUCGACGAGUCGAGUAGUUUGGGAAUGCUGCUCAAAAUGGGAGGUAAACCCCUUCUAAAGCUAAAUAUUGGCCAGAGACCGAUAGCGCACAAGUAGAGUGAUCGAAAGAUGAAAAGCACUUUGAAAAGAGAGUUAAACAGCACGUGAAAUUGUUGAAAGGGAAGCGCUUGCGACCAGACUUGCGCCCGUCGGAUCAACCGUCCCUCGUGGGCGGCGCACUCCGGCGGGCUCAGGCCAGCAUCAGUUUUCCCGGGGGGAGAAAGGCGGUGGGAAUGUAGCUCUUCGGAGUGUUAUAGCCCUCCGCGUAAUGCCCCCGGGGGGACUGAGGACCGCGCGUAAGCAAGGAUGCUGGCGUAAUGGUCGUCAGCGACCCGUCUUGAAACACGGACCAAGGAGUCGUCCUAAUAUGCGAGUGUACGGGUGUAAAACCCCUGCGCGUAAUGAAAGUGAACGGAGGUGAGAGCUUCGGCGCAUCAUCGACCGAUCCUGAUGUUCUCGGAUGGAUUUGAGUAAGAGCAUAUUGGGCCGGACCCGAAAGAAGGUGAACUAUGCCUGUAUAGGGUGAAGCCAGAGGAAACUCUGGUGGAGGCUCGCAGCGGUUCUGACGUGCAAAUCGAUCGUCAAAUAUGGGCAUGGGGGCGAAAGACUAAUCGAACCU